Molecule: ribosomal RNA, 921 nt
Filed under: Muggiaea atlantica
Lineage: Eukaryota; Metazoa; Cnidaria; Hydrozoa; Siphonophorae; Diphyidae
Description: eukaryotic LSU rRNA
Rfam family: Eukaryotic large subunit ribosomal RNA (bases 680-921)
Source: RNAcentral
GGUUUAGUGAGAUCUUCGGAUUGGCACAAUCGCGGCCUAACGGAAGUGAUGGUGCCGAAAAGUUGCUCAAACUUGAUCAUUUAGAGGAAGUAAAAGUCGUAACAAGGUUUCCGUAGGUGAACCUGCGGAAGGAUCAUUACCGUUUGUCUUUUGACAACACCACUGUGAACUGUUCCAAGCAGGUGGGGUACUGGCCUCGCGCCGGUUUAAAUGCGCUCUGCUGCGCAGCCCCACUUGUGCAACCCCUUUGUGUAUUUUUACGCACUUGUUUACUCAUGUAUUGAUCGAGUCAAAUCGGUCAACUUGACAAAACGUGACAACUUCUAACGGUGGAUCUCUUGGCUCGUGCAUCGAUGAAGAACGUAGCCAGUUGCGAUAAGUAGUGUGAAUUGCAGAAUUCAGUGAAUCAUCGAAUCUUUGAACGCAAAUUGCGCUUUCUGGAUAUCCAGGGAGCAUGCCUGUCUGAGCGUCGUUUAAAAAUCUACACACCUCGGUGUGGGUAGGGAGGUUCUUCAGGUAACUCUAGGGAUACCUGUCUCUCGAUGUGUCUGAACCUUGCUCGUAUGUUGCUCACGUACUUGCAUGGAAGGCUCAACUUGCUUCUGUCCUUCUAAUGCUCUGUACUGCGGCGUACCUCAGGGUGCACUCUGGGGCCCUCGCGGCCCUAGACUUUCUUUUUUGACCUCAGAUCAGACAAGACUACCCGCUGAAUUUAAGCAUAUUAAUAAGCGGAGGAAAAGAAAAUAACUAUGAUUCCCCUAGUAACGGCGAGUGAAGCGGGACCAGCUCAAACUUAAAAUCUGCGAUGCUUGCAUCGCCGAAUUGUAGUCUAUAGAUUCGUUUUCAAGGCGAAUGCGCAGUGCUUAAGUUGCUUGGAACGGCACAUCGUAGAGGGUGACAAUCCCGUACGUGGCACUGUGC